CUUGUCCACAACGGACCCG
Molecule: non-coding RNA, 19 nt
Filed under: Arabidopsis thaliana (thale cress)
Lineage: Eukaryota; Viridiplantae; Streptophyta; Magnoliopsida; Brassicales; Brassicaceae
Source: RNAcentral